AAGAAGAUCUGUCUGUCUUCUGUAUAUACCCUGUAGAUCCGAAUUUGUGUUAAGAAAUUUUGUGGUCACAAAUUCGUAUCUAGGGGAAUAUGUAGUUGACAUAAACACUCCGUUCAUUUUUU
RNAcentral lists this microRNA precursor (122 nucleotides) under Erinaceus europaeus (western European hedgehog). Its description in RNAcentral is "miRNA (ENSEEUG00000016022.1)". The stretch from base 20 to 96 matches the Rfam family "mir-10 microRNA precursor family". From Rfam's summary of the family: In this case the mature sequence comes from the 5' arm of the precursor. The extents of the hairpin precursors are not generally known and are estimated based on hairpin prediction. The record is from RNAcentral. Lineage: Eukaryota; Metazoa; Chordata; Mammalia; Eulipotyphla; Erinaceidae.